CUCAACAUGCAAUCGUACAGUCUGAUAAGCACGGAUGCCUUUAAUACUCAGACCCUGUUAACGCUGUGCCAAAUGCUUCCAGCACCCUAGACACCUGGGAAAGACAACCAAGAUACCUCUCACAUACCAGAGGCUGGAAGAGAAGCCUGACUCUUCAAGUACUUCAGAAAAAUAUUUUCAAAUAGCCUUUAAACAACAUAAGGACAUCUUUGGCUUGAUUUAUCCCAAACUUACAGCAUUUGUACUCCAGGCUUUCGGGAUUCAGUGAUGAACUUUACUCCCAAUAACUGAUAACUCGUUUAAGAAUUAAGCACGCUAAUCUUCCAGAA
This is a long non-coding RNA of Oxyura jamaicensis (ruddy duck), 329 nucleotides long. RefSeq lists it as uncharacterized. The record is from RefSeq and is a predicted model, not a curated record. The transcript is spliced from 2 exons. NCBI's taxonomy places the organism in Eukaryota, Metazoa, Chordata, Aves, Anseriformes, Anatidae.